CACUCGUUCCCAUCCCGAACACGACCGUUAAGCCCUCCAGCGCCGAUGGUACUUGGGGUGCAGACCCCUGGGAGAGUAGGACGUUGCCAGGC
This 92-nucleotide ribosomal RNA is filed under the name Hazenella coriacea. The record is from RNAcentral. Lineage: Bacteria; Bacillati; Bacillota; Bacilli; Caryophanales; Thermoactinomycetaceae.